GGCCCUAUCGUCUAGUGGACUAGGACAUCUGGUUUUCAGCCAGAUAACACCGGUUCGAAUCCGGUUGGGGCUA
This 73-nucleotide transfer RNA is filed under the name Candidatus Gottesmanbacteria bacterium. RNAcentral describes it as "tRNA-Glu". It matches the Rfam family "tRNA". From Rfam's summary of the family: Transfer RNA (tRNA) molecules are approximately 80 nucleotides in length. Their secondary structure includes four short double-helical elements and three loops (D, anti-codon, and T loops). Further hydrogen bonds mediate the characteristic L-shaped molecular structure. tRNAs have two regions of fundamental functional importance: the anti-codon, which is responsible for specific mRNA codon recognition, and the 3' end, to which the tRNAs corresponding amino acid is attached (by aminoacyl-tRNA synthetases). tRNAs cope with the degeneracy of the genetic code in two manners: having more than one tRNA (with a specific anti-codon) for a particular amino acid; and 'wobble' base-pairing, i.e. permitting non-standard base-pairing at the 3rd anti-codon position. The record is from RNAcentral. Lineage: Bacteria; Candidatus Gottesmaniibacteriota.